This 301-nucleotide ribosomal RNA is filed under the name uncultured bacterium. RNAcentral's name for it is "partial 16S ribosomal RNA". It matches the Rfam family "Bacterial small subunit ribosomal RNA", at positions 512 to 810 of the family's 1533-position model. The record is from RNAcentral.
CCGCCGCGGUAAUACAGAGGGUGCGAGCGUUAAUCGGAUUUACUGGGCGUAAAGCGUGCGUAGGCGGCUUCUUAAGUCGGAUGUGAAAUCCCUGAGCUUAACUUAGGAAUUGCAUUCGAUACUGGGAAGCUAGAGUAUGGGAGAGGAUGGUAGAAUUCCAGGUGUAGCGGUGAAAUGCGUAGAGAUCUGGAGGAAUACCGAUGGCGAAGGCAGCCAUCUGGCCUAAUACUGACGCUGAGGUACGAAAGCAUGGGGAGCAAACAGGAUUAGAUACCCCCGUAGUCCCUGUCUCUUAUACACA